AAAUGCCCAAGAAAGAGCAAGUACAAGUACAAAAUGGCAAAACUUGUUAAAAAUAUAGGUAGGGUGGAUACAAAAUUCUUAAAAGAAUAUGACACACAUUAUUAUGUAAUGUUGAUAAGUUCAGACACAAUUUCAAUACCAUCAUCAACCUUUAUGUCCACUAUGACAAUGUGUUUCUCUUUAUCAAGGACAACCUACAGGAAAACAACAUUUAGUUAUAAAAUAAUUUAAUCAAGAGAAACAAUUUGAUCUUUUAGACAAAUUAUUUUUCAAAAUUAUAACACUGAGCUACAAUUUUUCUUAGGUAUUUGCUCAGUGUUACACAACAUUUAACAUACUUAUUUAGCAUAAGCUUCAGAAAUUUAAGCAUCCAAUUUAAGAAGGGUGAGAAACAACAAGGGACCCUAAUGAAAUUAAGAAAGCAUGUAAAGAUUUGCCCCCUUAGAUUUUUGGCCACUUUUGCACUGCUCCACAUACCAUUCAUCCCAGGCCAUCUUCUGCACAUCUUUCUCCAUUUUUUUAAAUUGCACCAUCCACCAUAGUCAACUACUUGCCUUUAUUGCCUUUUUUUUUUCUUUCCUGCCUUUGAACUCAACUAACUUUCACUCUAAAGUAUACUUAUAAAAGCCCUUCCUCUUUUCCUGUAUUACUAUUACUAUUAUUACUUCUCCUUAAAACCCCAUCCUUUCCCCAUUCCAAAUUAAAUUCACAUCGCAUCUACAAUAUAGUAUUAAGCUCAAAAUUAAAACCCCAUCCCAACCCGUAACAGAUUUUCACAGCCACAAAAUUCACAUACAAAAAACCAAAAAAAACACGGGCCAAAUUUAGAGGCACAAAAACCCUAAUCAAAUGAAGGAAAAAAAUAACAGGAAUACAAAUCACAAGUUCAUGGGGAGAAAUGAACACCAACAUUGUUCAAAUUUAAUAAACUAAAAAAAAGGUGAAACCUUACAAAAAAAAUAAACACAGAACCCUUUCCCAGUGAGUGAAAACCAACGAAGGGCCAAGGAUGACAAUGGGGUAACGAUGACGCGCGACGAGAGUGAGAGGAAGACGGAUGGUGAGGCCAUGAGAAAUGAAACUAAGAGCACACAAGGCAAAGAUCCUUCUCCCACUCUCCUUUAAGUUUGCUCUCUCUCUCCUUCCCUCUCCAAAGAGUUCCUCUUUCUCGACGGUGCUGCCCUCUUUCCCCUUCCUUCUGUUUCUUCGCUGACCCUAUGUUAUUUUAGAGAAUUUGAAGGUCUUAAUUUUUUUAAUAAAACUCCCAG
This 1268-nucleotide long non-coding RNA is filed under the name Glycine max (soybean). RNAcentral's name for it is "long non-coding RNA (GMAX_LNC001044)". Lineage: Eukaryota; Viridiplantae; Streptophyta; Magnoliopsida; Fabales; Fabaceae. The record is from RNAcentral.